RNAcentral lists this ribosomal RNA (253 nucleotides) under uncultured bacterium. Its description in RNAcentral is "partial 16S ribosomal RNA". It matches the Rfam family "Bacterial small subunit ribosomal RNA", at positions 524 to 776 of the family's 1533-position model. The record is from RNAcentral.
UACGUAGGGGGCAAGCGUUGUCCGGAAUUAUUGGGCGUAAAGCGCGCGCAGGCGGCCUUUUAAGUCUGAUGUGAAAGCCCCCGGCUCAACCGGGGAGGGUCAUUGGAAACUGGAAGGCUUGAGUGCAGAAGAGAAGAGCGGAAUUCCACGUGUAGCGGUGAAAUGCGUAGAGAUGUGGAGGAACACCAGUGGCGAAGGCGGCUCUUUGGUCUGUAACUGACGCUGAGGCGCGAAAGCGUGGGGAGCGAACAGG